UUUGUUGUCCGACUCUGUUGCCUCCGGGGCGACCCUGCCUUCGGGCGGGGGCUCCGGGUGGACACUUCAAACUCUUGCGUAACUUUGCAGUCUGAGUAAACUUAAUUAAUAAAUUAAAACUUUUAACAACGGAUCUCUUGGUUCUGGCAUCGAUGAAGAACGCAGCGAAAUGCGAUAAGUAAUGUGAAUUGCAGAAUUCAGUGAAUCAUCGAAUCUUUGAACGCACAUUGCGCCCCCUGGUAUUCCGGGGGGCAUGCCUGUUCGAGCGUCAUUUCACCACUCAAGCCUCGCUUGGUAUUGGGCAACGCGGUCCGCCGCGUGCCUCAAAUCGACCGGCUGGGUCUUCUGUCCCCUAAGCGUUGUGGAAACUAUUCGCUAAAGGGUGCUCGGGAGGCUACGCCGUAAAACAAACCCAUUUCUAAGGUUGACCUCGGAUCAGGUAGGGAUACCCGCUGAACUUAAGCAUAUC
This 469-nucleotide ribosomal RNA is filed under the name Cladosporium tenuissimum. RNAcentral describes it as "eukaryotic LSU rRNA". The stretch from base 118 to 271 matches the Rfam family "5.8S ribosomal RNA". The record is from RNAcentral. Lineage: Eukaryota; Fungi; Ascomycota; Dothideomycetes; Cladosporiales; Cladosporiaceae.